RNAcentral lists this long non-coding RNA (1160 nucleotides) under Scleropages formosus (Asian bonytongue). RNAcentral describes it as "lncRNA (ENSSFOG00015025420.1)". Lineage: Eukaryota; Metazoa; Chordata; Actinopteri; Osteoglossiformes; Osteoglossidae. The record is from RNAcentral.
UGUAGCAUUAACCUCUCCUUAACCCCGAAGACAAUAACUGCUAGUACAAAAGCAUGGCUUCACUUGGAGCACGGGGGGGCAGCGGGCUCGGCCAGGUCCUGCUCUCUGGUGGGUCUGGGGUUCGAGUCCUGCUUGGGGGUGCCUUGUGACGGACUGGUGUCCUGUCCUGGGUGUGUCCUCUUCUCUUCCAGCCUUACGCCCUGUGUUGCCAGGUUAGGCUCUGGCUCGCUGUGACCCUCUGCUUGGGACAAGCAGCUUCAGUAAACGUGUGUGUCUGUCUAUAUAUAUAUAUAUAAAUACACACAAUAUAUCUAUUGUAUCUGAUAUCUAUUAUAGCACUCUAUUAACACAGUCACAAUUUUUCCAAAACAAAACCAUCUACUUUAUAUACUUCCUACCUCCUCUGCAUCACACUGACAAUCUCAAUCACAGCCAUCAAGUUAAAUAGAAAUUAUAAUUGAGAUGCUAUUAUUAGUUUGUUUAGAUGACACUUUCAUCGAAGUGGCAAUAUUAAGCUACUUACAAUUGUUUUCCUAUUUAUACUGCAGGAUAAUUUUUACUGUAUCAAUUCAGAGUAAGUAGCUUGGUCAAGAGGACCCAGUGGGUACAGCUGAUGCCUCAGAGUUCUUGAGCUGCUUGGUGGGCGUGAGUAUAGGACAACCAGUGGUCUGUUGGGUGCAGGUGCUGCCUUUGAAUGCAAAAGUUGUCGGUUCAAAUCUGACUUCUACCUGUAGUAGAUUCAGUUAAGGUAUUUAUUCUCAAAAUGUUCCAUAAAAAUUACCCAACUAUGUAAAUGGGUAAAUAAAUAUAAGUUGCUUUGGAGAAACAUAUCAGCUAAGUGAAUGUGAUGUAUGUAGAUGUUUGUGUGACAGCUGUACCUUUCUCCCUCUGUUUUUGUGCCCUUCGGAUAGGCAUGAAAAAAGACUUUUGAAAGCCGCUUCUGUUCCACCCUUGCCUGCAAAAUCACGUGAAUCAUUGCCAAGGGUUGGCUUCAACUGGCUGGCAAUUCCACUCAAACUUUGCUCAAAGACUGUUCCAGACCCCAGACUGCUGUAACACUCCUUACUGGUUCACUUCCUUCACCCGGAAAACCUAGGGGUGAGUCCUGAGAUGUCCCUAAUCUCUCACUCAAGGACAGAAGUAGAGACAGGAGGAGAGAU